UGCGAGGCUCGAUGGCUCGCGAUAGGGCGCCGGCUCUCGGGGCCGGUAUCCCUCGUCAUCACGUUGCUCAACGGAGGAUGUGGUCAUGAGGA
Molecule: small RNA, 92 nt
Filed under: Methylobacterium sp. Leaf104
Lineage: Bacteria; Pseudomonadati; Pseudomonadota; Alphaproteobacteria; Hyphomicrobiales; Methylobacteriaceae
Description: Repression of heat shock gene expression (ROSE) element
Rfam family: Repression of heat shock gene expression (ROSE) element
About the family: This family represents a 5' UTR cis-regulatory element found in heat shock mRNAs and is known as the ROSE (repression of heat shock gene expression) element.
Source: Rfam by way of RNAcentral